UCCUACUUAUCAUAGGCAGUUUCCUUAGAGUUCCCAGCAUUACCUGUUGGCAACUAAGGACGAGGGUUGCGCUCGUUGCGGGACUUAACCCAACAUCUCACGACACGAGCUGACGACAGCCAUGCAGCACCUGUGUGCACGCCACCCGAAGUGAAGAAAUCCAUCUCUGGAAAUCAAACGUGCCAUGUCAAGGCCUGGUAAGGUUCUUCGCGUUGCCUCGAAUUAAACCACAUGCUCCACCGCUUGUGCGGGUCCCCGUCAAUUUCUUUGAGUUUUAAUCUUGCGACCGUACUCCCCAGGCGGACUGCUUAAUGCGUUAGCUUCGUCACUGAAGGGUAACCCCCCAACAACUAGCAGUCAUCGUUUACAGCGUGGACUAC
This 380-nucleotide unclassified non-coding RNA is filed under the name uncultured Rickettsiales bacterium. Its description in RNAcentral is "contains 16S-23S intergenic spacer region". The record is from RNAcentral. Lineage: Bacteria; Pseudomonadati; Pseudomonadota; Alphaproteobacteria; Rickettsiales.